Long non-coding RNA from Hemiscyllium ocellatum (epaulette shark), 526 nucleotides. RefSeq lists it as uncharacterized. NCBI's taxonomy places the organism in Eukaryota, Metazoa, Chordata, Chondrichthyes, Orectolobiformes, Hemiscylliidae. The record is from RefSeq and is a predicted model, not a curated record. The transcript is spliced from 3 exons.
GACUGAGAAGCCCAAGUGAUGUGUUUUUCUUGGGAAUAGAUGCAGUGAAUGACUCCGAUAUGACUGAAUUCAAGACUAAACAGCAUGACGAAAACACCAGCGUCAAUGUUGAACCUGAGGUUAACAAUCCAGAGCGGAAAAAAAGCCCUUCACUUAGCAGUUCAGAAGAGACACUUGGCAAAAAGCUCCUGAGGAAACUAAGUGGCAAAAAGAGGAAGCCUUCCAGAGACAGCGAGAAAAGCCCUGAAGAGAACGUAAAUGUACCUCAGCUAAAGAUCUGACAUCUCCAGCAAGGUUAAAACCACGCUGAUGGGCUGCAAGACAAAUCACUCACUGAUUACAAAUCAUUCCUGACACUCGAGCCCAGCCAAUAGAAGCUGCAGUCUUAGGAGAUUGGCAGGGUUUGUAAUCAUGAAACAAAACUACAGCAGUGGCAGCAUGGCCCAAGCUAGUUUUUCUUGUUUUGUACUUUGAAUUAAGAAUUUAACUUUUGCAUGUUUUUCCAUCUAUUCGUUUUACUUAAGAG